Molecule: long non-coding RNA, 238 nt
Filed under: Physcomitrium patens
Lineage: Eukaryota; Viridiplantae; Streptophyta; Bryopsida; Funariales; Funariaceae
Description: long non-coding RNA (PPAT_LNC004301)
Source: RNAcentral
CGACUGCUUGUCGAAGUCCUUUUUGCCCUAGCCGGUAGGUCUCUAGACGUUACAGAGAACCCCGAACAACCCAAUCUGCUAAUCUUCGAUACCGCUUUGUACUUACGAUCUUGUAUCCACUGACUGUCUUGUUAGAUUAACCCAAUAAAUUUCAUUCACUCCGCAUACUCAAUCCUAUAGACACCCUUUUAAUUCUUCAAUCACAGACGUAACUCAAUUUCACAAAACAGUCAAGAGU